UCAUAUUACAUUAAUAUGCAGUGUAAGAAGAUAACAGGUAUCAGAGGGUAACACUUUACAAUAAGGUCUCAUUUAAUAACAGUUAAAGCAUUAACUAACAGUGAGCAAUACAUUUAUUUAUUCAUGCAGUGUCUGUCCCAUAAUGUUCUGUUUUUCUUUCAUUUUUAAUUUUAAUUGUAUUUUUCCUCAUAACAGGUCUGAUGACAGUCACAAAAAAACAGAAAGUGACACCACGAUGUCUAUGGAAAGUAGAAGACUAUUCAGAACAUGUCCCACUCUCUGUUAAAAGAAGGGUGAUAUACUGUAUGCUUGUCAGCACGGAAAGAACUACAAGAAGACAACCACAACAGAUGAUUUGCAAACUGAACAUGAAUACACAAGAAGAAAAAGGUUCCAUGUGGAUUGUCCAGCAAAACUUUAUGUCUGAUAUGUAGAAAGGACAUGGCAUCAGAGGUGAAGGAUAUUCUGGCACUACAAGACCCAAACCUGGUGAUCAGCAAAGCCUUCAAACUGUGUAUUACACAGGGUGACUCGGCCACACUGAAGGAGGGUUGCUGGCUUAAUGACAAAAGUUAGAAAAAUUAAUGGAUUAUUUACUUGAUAUGCCUUGGUUUAUUGGGAAUAAUGCAUCACUACAUUUUUGUAAAGAAAAUGGGGGAAUAAAGGUUUGUCCUCAAUAUUUUAUAAAAAUUUGUAUAAAAAUGAAUAAAUUGAUUCUGCACUGCACAUUAAGGCUGGGUAUUGACACAAAUUUAACAACCAAUUUGAUGCCAAUAGUAUGAAGUAAUCAGACAAUUGUUGAUCAUAAAGCACUAAUGCUGGAUGUCACCAAUGUCAUGCAUUCUUAAUGAGUAUUUUCCCCUCUUCUCUUUUCAAGGUUAUCAACUUUUUUCCUUGCUAAUGAACAGAUCAGCUGGGAGCCUUAAAGUCUUCUCUUACAGCACCUUUUUCUACCCAAAGCUUCAGAGUGGUGAAGGCCAUGCAGCAGUGAAGAACUGGACAAAAUCUCAGGAUCUCUUCAUCUUGGAUCUUAUAUUUGUUCCUUUGCACCUAGGCAUGCACUGGGCUUUGGCCGUAAGUCAUAUAUAAUAAGUUGGGAUGCAUUGUUUUAAUAUUUAUGUCUUUGAAAAGUGUAAAACAAUAUUUUUGAUUUUCAGUUUGUCUUUAACUUGCCUAUAUUGCUUCUAACCACCAGCUAAUUGAUUUUAAAUCCCAGGCCAUACAGUGAAACAACCACAAAGUCAAUCAUCGACCUCCGACCUAGGGUGUCCUGGUGCCACGUGUACUGAUGGACACCCUUAUGCUUGAACAUGGUGUUCGUUAUGGACAAACUGUGACUAGCACAGAAGUCCAAAAACAGAACACCACUCGGGUUCAGGUCGACUGAGCUGGGGGACUAUAAGCAUGGUGAGUGAGCUGAGGGGCUAUAAGCAUGCCCACACCAGCCCGCCUCCUCUCACCACGGGCAACUCCAGAGUAGUAGAGAGUCCAGCCUCUCUCGAGGACUCGGGUUCCAGAGCCCAAGCUGUGCGUGGAGGUGAGCUCAACUAUCUCUAAUCGGUAUCUCUCAGCCUCCUGCACCAGCUCAGGCUCCUUCCCCCCAGCGAGGUGACAUUCCAUGUCCUAGAGCAAGAUUACGUGUCCGGGGAUUGUGUUGCCAAGGCCCCUGCCUUCGACUGCCACACAAUCCACAAUGCACCGACCCCUUACGGUUCCACCUAGGACCUGUUUGCCUUGGGAGACCCUACCAGGGGCAAAAAGCCCCAGAUAACAUAGCUUCUAGGAUCAUUCAGGCUCGCAAUUUGACAUGAAACACCUGAGAUCAGAACAGGUAUUUUAUUAAUAUGAAUGUCACGAAACACUGCAGAAAGGUUAUGUAAAGUUAUAACAGAAUGAAUAUAAUUUUUAAAAAAAUACCCACCAUCGCGGACAAGUAACGUUAUCUGAAGCAAUUUAUGCAAACAGCUUUCCUCCAGAUCUAUGCAAAUUAUCAAAUAGGCCACACCUCCCCUAUGACGCAAUAUAUGUUACGCUGUCCUGAAAUCAGUGAAAAUAAGUGCCUGCCUACUGAGAACCGAUGAGCUGUUGUUACUGCACAUGCAUAAUUCACUGAACUGAUACA
Long non-coding RNA from Tachysurus fulvidraco (yellow catfish), 2122 nucleotides. RefSeq lists it as uncharacterized. The record is from RefSeq and is a predicted model, not a curated record. Lineage: Eukaryota; Metazoa; Chordata; Actinopteri; Siluriformes; Bagridae. The transcript has 3 exons.